AGAGUUUGAUCCUGGCUCAGGACGAACGCUGGCGGCGUGCCUAACACAUGCAAGUCGAACGCCUUCUCGCAAGAGAGGGAGUGGCGGACGGGUGAGUAACGCAUGGAUACCUACCCUUAAGUGAGGAAUACCAGCGAGAAAUCGCUGACAAUACCGCAUGGGCUUCGAGAGAAGCAAAGCCCUGCUUCGGGAGGGCGCUU
RNAcentral lists this ribosomal RNA (200 nucleotides) under uncultured bacterium. RNAcentral's name for it is "partial 16S ribosomal RNA". It matches the Rfam family "Bacterial small subunit ribosomal RNA", at positions 8 to 220 of the family's 1533-position model. The record is from RNAcentral.